This 301-nucleotide ribosomal RNA is filed under the name uncultured bacterium. RNAcentral's name for it is "partial 16S ribosomal RNA". It matches the Rfam family "Bacterial small subunit ribosomal RNA", at positions 509 to 807 of the family's 1533-position model. The record is from RNAcentral.
CAGCAGCCGCGGUAAUACGAAGGGGGCUAGCGUUGUUCGGAUUUACUGGGCGUAAAGCGCACGUAGGCGGACUUUUAAGUCAGGGGUGAAAUCCCGGGGCUCAACCCCGGAACUGCCUUUGAUACUGGGAGUCUUGAGUUCGAGAGAGGUGAGUGGAAUUGCGAGUGUAGAGGUGAAAUUCGUAGAUAUUCGCAGGAACACCAGUGGCGAAGGCGGCUCACUGGCUCGAUACUGACGCUGAGGUGCGAAAGCGUGGGGAGCAAACAGGAUUAGAUACCCCAGUAGUCCCUGUCUCUUAUAC